This 76-nucleotide microRNA precursor is filed under the name Myotis brandtii (Brandt's bat). RNAcentral describes it as "mir-9229 microRNA precursor family". It matches the Rfam family "mir-9229 microRNA precursor family". The record is from Rfam by way of RNAcentral. Lineage: Eukaryota; Metazoa; Chordata; Mammalia; Chiroptera; Vespertilionidae.
GAGACACCCCCAUGGAGCAGUACUUGUUUCUGUGAGACUUUGGUGCUCACUGAGUCUGCCCCGUAAGUGUGUUGCU